This is a long non-coding RNA of Acipenser ruthenus (sterlet), 2278 nucleotides long. RefSeq lists it as uncharacterized. The transcript has 3 exons. The record is from RefSeq and is a predicted model, not a curated record. NCBI's taxonomy places the organism in Eukaryota, Metazoa, Chordata, Actinopteri, Acipenseriformes, Acipenseridae.
CCUGCAGCGCGGUUUCCACCCAACAGUAUUGCUCAACCCCAAGGUAUUCGUUUUCCGUUUCUAUUUUUUUGUCCCUCUCUAUUUUUAGCCGGUUUCAAGGAUUUCCGCCCCGUACAGAGGAUCGCCUUCAAAAAGAAGACGAGCGUUCCCACUCCAGCGCCGUGUUGGUGUCACUUACACUCCCAACUUCUGCUGUCUGAAGGAAACCCGACUCCACGGAGCCGACUAGACUCAGCAGAAAGACGAACUGAAUGUAGAACCACCUUUCAAGGUUGUGACAGCAGUUGUGAAGGAUUCAGAAGACAGUUAUUCGAAUCUUAUCCCACACUGAGUGAGGGUGGUGGAUUUUAACUAAUGAAGAUUUCAGGAUCUAUGAGAAGCCAGAUCUUGGCUGUUAUUCCUUGCCCUAAUGAGGGGUACUCAGCAAAAUAUUUAAGGGACCCAGAAACCCAAAUUUGGCUCUGUCAUUAUCUAUGUAAGGCCGCUACAAAGAGGUCUUAAUAUGGAUCAGGUAAGAGCUUAUUGUUUUUUUCUUUGAUUGUUUCUUAGUGCUGGUAAAUUCUUAUUAUUCAUCCAUCUUCUUUGGUGGGUUUUCAGGGUUCCACAUGUUCAUUCAGCUGUAGUGUAACAUUGCAUUUGCAGUGAAUGACGUGUCUGCUGCAAUUCAUUUAGUAGGUUCCUGGGCUGUCCUUAUCCACUGGGCCCCUGAUGAAGUGCCUCUUUUGUGAGAAAGACUUUUCCUUCUCAGAAAUAAAGUCACAGUGACGGCUGUAGCAGCAGGUAUAGUGUUUUUGUUAAUGUAAUUGGUCAUUGUUAAAUACAGUACAUUAACUAUUUUGAAAGGUUUAUUUGCAGUAAAAUGAUGAAAUAUGCGUAUAGUGGUUUUCAGGAAAUGUUUAUGCUAAUGUAGUCUUACAAAAAUAAAUGUAUUGGUCUCGUUAAAUGUUUUCAAAAUGAAUAAAAGCUGAUUGGCUGUGUUUUGAUGUAAUAUAAUUUAAGUCGUGGUUAUAAUCAUUGUUUUGCUGCACUUCAUGGAUACAUAUGUCAAGUUCUUAUUACCUGUUGUCAUAUACCAAAGGAACUUUUUGAUGAACAUUCUCACAGUGAUCUGACAAUGUGUUGGUCCUGCAUAUGCUUGUGAUCAUUUGUCCUUAAUUGUCUUUGUUUUGCUGUGUCUUCUUAGUUAAUUACUUCAUGUGAAACUUAUGGUUUAAAAUGUAUUGUCUUCAAGGCCUUCAUUUCAGAGCACAGACAGUAGUGUAGUGGAAGGAGUAGGUGAGACUCAGAGUUCAGAGGUGCCCACUGCAACAGUAACUUGUGUGCUGCUGAAUUCUGAUGAGCUGCUACAGGAGUGUAUUCCGGAUAGACCAAGUGAAAUAAUAGACAGCAAUAGGGAUGCAGGAGUAGACAGGGCAGUCUUCGUUGACAGCAGAGAGACUGAGGACGGUUUGUGAAUUAAAUUAUUUGAAUUAAUUUUAUGUGUUGAAUGAAAUAAGCUGACACCUUUCUGUUUUUCAAUGGGUAUGUUUUAUUUCUUUUCAGAAUGUGAAAUCAUGGCAAAUUUGUUCAGGGAGGCUGUAUUGAAGCAGCAUGGAACUGCUAAACCACUCCAUCUAAGAAUGGAUUUGCGAGACAGCAUGGAGAAUAGAGAGAGGGACAUUUUGUCAUUUUAUAAAAUGUCCAAAGUAGAAUGGGCCUGUCCUUUAAAAUGCACACUUGAAGAAAUCACUGACAGAACUUUUAAUGUUUGAAGGAGAACCUGACCAUUUAAUUCCCUCCACAUCUGAGUUCCUUCUCGAGAGUGACAUGUUUCACGUUGCUGGGCGAAUGAUUGGACAUUCUUUCCUGCACAGUGGUCCAAGCUUAGCUGGAUUGAGUCCCGCAAUUAUCCAUGUGUUGCUUGGAGGUGCACCAGAAACCGCCAAUCUGGAGAGUCACGAUUGUCCUGAUAUUGAUGUUCACGAAACUGUCAAAUUAGUAAGUAAUGUAUGCAUAAUUUCAAUGGCUGAAACUUUUAUUGUCUGUUCUGUAUUCUCUCAUUUUCUGUGCCUCUGAAAAUUACUAACAAGCACUCUUUUGAACAGAAUUGUCCCAAAUUCAAGGUUGUAGGCUGGAGACUGAAAUGUACUGAAGUGUAAAUCACUGAUGUAGAGUGGGAUGAUCUCCGUUCCAUGUGAACAACUAAGAAUGGAAUGUGGAGCUAAGCCUGAUUAAGUUUUCUGGGCUUAAACAACUAAUACAAGUGUCUUUCAUGACAUUAAAAUAAAGUCAAGCUAUU